This is a non-coding RNA of Puccinia sorghi, 86 nucleotides long. The record is from the annotation of a GenBank genome assembly. NCBI's taxonomy places the organism in Eukaryota, Fungi, Basidiomycota, Pucciniomycetes, Pucciniales, Pucciniaceae.
GCGUCUGUAGCCUGGUUGCUUAAGGCAGCACUCUGGUAUGCGUCUUAGCAUUGCUGAGGUUGUGGGUUCAAGUCUCACCAGUCACA